RNAcentral lists this long non-coding RNA (528 nucleotides) under Anas platyrhynchos platyrhynchos (common mallard). RNAcentral describes it as "lncRNA (ENSAPLG00000021850.1)". The record is from RNAcentral. Lineage: Eukaryota; Metazoa; Chordata; Aves; Anseriformes; Anatidae.
AACCAAGUAUUAAUGUUGCUGAAGAAUGAGUUAAUUUCAGCCUCCCUGUCAGAAUGCUACACCAGACUUCUUCAACAAGUCUUGGAAUGGAAAGCAUCAUUACAAGCAUAACUUUGACUGACCAAGCCAGUCAUCUGGGUCUCCAUGGAGAGGUACUACUGAGGGUAGAUACUUGGAUGUUUCAGAGAUGCAAAUUAUUCUUCUUUGGGUGGAAAAAAAGAAUUGUCCAGUUAAUAUGGCUUGAGAAACUGAUGAGAAGCUUUCAAGUUUGUGGAAACACAGUUUGGGGCUUUGCUUUUCCUGGAGAUUUUACAUCCUUCAAUUUUCAAAAAGCUGUAGGCAUUAGAGGAAAAAGAUCACAUAUGCGUCAUUCUCUCCACAAGUUCUAGUCGUCAGUGCCAACAGAUAUACUUUAUAGAUGUCUGGCUUUGGUUUCAGCAUCAUAACCAGAUGGCAGUGAAUCAUGCUUUAUAAUUUAUUUAAAAGGUUAGAAAUAAAUACUUUUGUCUGGCUCCUUCCCUCUUGCUU